Molecule: ribosomal RNA, 260 nt
Filed under: uncultured bacterium
Lineage: Bacteria
Description: partial 16S ribosomal RNA
Rfam family: Bacterial small subunit ribosomal RNA
Source: RNAcentral
CGCACGGGUGAGUAACGCGUAUGCGACCUGCCCGUUGCAGGGGGGAUAAUCGGGAGAAAUCCCGUCUAAUACUGCGUAACGCCGCGGGGCUGCAUGGCCCUGCGGCCAAAGGGAGCGAUUCCGGCAACGGAUGGGCAUGCGUGACAUUAGCUAGUUGGCGGGGCAACGGCCCACCAAGGCGACGAUGUCUAGGGGUUCUGAGAGGAAGGUCCCCCACACUGGUACUGAGACACGGACCAGACUCCUACGGAAGGCAGCAG